AGGAAAUGUUGGUCAGGUCAGAGUUUGUGAAUCCUUGGCAGCAGUUAAUGCAAUUCUUCUACGUAUUUAACAACUUCGCUCAUCAAAGUUAGGUUAGUAAGAGACCGCUCAGAUCCAUCAUAUUAUGCUUGUAAGUAUUAGUCCAUAACUUCAUAGUGUAAAAAUCCUUGGAGGAUGAAGUGCCCAUCAUCUGAUGGAGUUCGUGAGAUUUGUUUAUGCCAUGCAGGGUGGAGGCUUUCAUGCGGUGGACCACAUCGGAAAUUUAGCCCGGCGGCGCAUGAAUUGGAUUAGGAUCGGCAGGCAGAAGGUCCUCUCCCUGGACAAGUGCACGGCAUUGCGGCCAUGGAGCUGUUGGGCCAUGACCAAAAGGAAACGGGAGGAAAGGCAGAGGGAUAUCGACUAUUCCUGUUUUAUGGCUUUUCAGGCGUUUAGGGAUUUUUUCCCCUCCAGGGAGCUAGGCGCCUGUGAUCAGAUAGUCGACACUUGGUGCCGCUACCACGAUGAUCAGUACCAGUGCACCGGCAUGGACCGACACACCAACCAGAUCAUCUCACUCUGGGAAUGCGUCCACAACAUCGAUAUAGGGUUUCCACAACACUAGUACCAGCUCAACGGUUGGAUCCUAACGCAUCCGCAACGUCUGUACUGACGUGCCGAGGAAAAACGUCGUAUGAACCUUCAGAGGUUGUCAAAUUUCCUUCGAUAAAACACGCGUUCCCCGGUAAACUUAUAAAUAUUUUUCUUCCAAUUUUUCAGAUAAUUUUGUUCGCAAUUUCACCCAAAAUUCCUGAAAAUUUCAGGAAAAACAUUCAUAACCUCCCACUAAAAUAAAAAUUUUAGUGAAGGAAAUUUGAUAACUCUCGGAUGUUACGACGUAUUCCCUUAGCACGGCAGCGCAAGUUACCAGUACAGAGAAAAUAGAGUCCCUAUUGAAUAGGGAAAGAAGUGUGUACCCGCCAGAUCUUCCCGCGCUUUUUUCCGCGCCAGAUCAGACAACCGACGACAAUUUUUUCAUUUCUUAAGGACAAUCAAAACCAUCUAUUCCUUUCAAAUUCCGGGAAUUUUUUCAGCAAAAAAAUGUUCGCGAAUGACUUCUCGAGAUUUUGGCGUUUCUAUUGAUGUAUGCUAGUUCUACUUUCUCCAAAAAACACCAAAGAUUAGAUUUAGAUCUAAUCAAAUUUGAUCUGGGAUUUUAGAUUUUCAAUUUUCUUCCACUUGGGUCGAUGUUCUCGAGUGACCCGUCAGCUCUUUAGUCAAAAACAUCGACUCGAGUGGGGGAAAAUUAAAAUUUCAAAAAUCAAGGUCUGUGGUGUUUUUUCAAGAGAACAGAACGUAACAUCAAUAAAACCGCCAAACGCUCGAGAAUAGUCAAUCAUGAACACUUUAAUGCCAACAAAUUCACUGAAUUCGAAAAUAAUAUAUAGUUUUGAUUCCCCAUGUUAUUUUCAAUAAGAAAUUAAACAAGCUGGUGUCUGCAAUCGCAGUGCGAUAGCAAUAUUCGUCAUGGGAACUUGAGAAAUGUUUGAUAAAUCAAUUAGCAUUGGGUGUACCAUUUUUAUGAUGGAUAUACCUAUUGGGAUCUGCUUUUGAUUUAGCAGAAGUCAAAACAUUUACCUAUGGCUGAUAAAAUUGCAGAAGUUGUUCCUUUUCUGCGGCAUGACGGUGAUUUUUUUUAUUUUCUUCUUUUAUUUAUUUUUUUCUAUUUUUCCAAGCUUCAUUGAUUUACUGUUCCGAUCUGAUGAUACCACUUUAUUGUCAAAGCAAAAACGCGAGGAACCUCUGAGGGGAAGACAAACGGCUGUACUAGCAGUAUUUUUAAUAAUUUGUCUUAAUUUUUAAUUACUAGUAUUGCUGUUCCGACUUUGCAUGUACAUUGCCAUUCAAAGUUUGUUGAACUGUUUUCCGUCUGACGCUAUUUUUUGGAGGCCAUUAUUUUUUUUAUUUUGAAAGAAAUCUGGGCCUUAUCAUAAAGUAUUUGAAUUUUCUUGACUUUCUUUCUUUCCUUUUUCAUUUUUCGUAUUUAAUUUUUUCGGAUGCGUGUUUGUGUCAAUCAGUAUUUAGCUGAAAUAAGUUCUAAUUAUAUGUGUAAACUUUUGAAUCUUUUUUUUUUUUUUAAAGCUUUAUAAGAUAUUUAGAGAUACAUAGACAUAUUACAGAUGGUAUAAAUUAAAUACAUUAUUGAUCUUAAGAUUAAAAGAACUAAUCUAAUGAAGCGCCGGAACCGCCUGUGGGCAUUACAUCGGGGGGUUUGGGGGCAGAGUUAUUACUAUUAUUACCAACUAUCUUAUAAGUUUUAGCUGUAGAUUCUAAAAUGUCCUUAAUAUACUUGUAACCUAGUUUCCAAUUAUUUCUAUUAUGUAACAUUAAUUCUAAUAGAUUAUUUGCA
This 2386-nucleotide long non-coding RNA is filed under the name Bemisia tabaci. RNAcentral's name for it is "lncRNA ENSASIAIIG010953". The record is from RNAcentral. Lineage: Eukaryota; Metazoa; Arthropoda; Insecta; Hemiptera; Aleyrodidae.